Molecule: transfer RNA, 65 nt
Filed under: Enterogyrus malmbergi
Lineage: Eukaryota; Metazoa; Platyhelminthes; Monogenea; Dactylogyridea; Ancyrocephalidae
Description: tRNA-Val
Source: RNAcentral
GCUGUGAUAGUUUAUUUAAAAUUUUUAUUUUACACGUAAAAGAUAGUGUGUAUUGCUUCAUGGUA